This 925-nucleotide long non-coding RNA is filed under the name Astyanax mexicanus (Mexican tetra). RNAcentral describes it as "lncRNA (ENSAMXG00005002620.1)". The record is from RNAcentral. Lineage: Eukaryota; Metazoa; Chordata; Actinopteri; Characiformes; Acestrorhamphidae.
GUCUCACGAGUCCUCCUUCCUCUUCCACGCCACAAUAUUAUUAAUAAUAUUCAAUAAAAUAAAUGACUAAAUGCACCGAUAUUUUAAAAUGAAACAGCGAAACAUAAUCAGGGUACUAAGAGAUGUGCAGCUGUCUGGAGUAGCUCCUAAACUGGCUUCUGUUGUCACGUGGGACAACACUCGCACUCCAAGUUCAGAACGGUUUUUGGAGGUAACUGAGCCAGUAGAGGAGCCAACGUGUGUCAUCGUUAUUCCGUGCUGUCCUCGCUCUGAGUCUGGAGAAGAGAGUGUAAUGGAGGGUGAGCGAAAAAGCAAAAGAAUUAAUGAACGAAAACGAAGAGCCAUCGACGUAGACUUUGUUGGAGCAGCACCAACGCUUCAGGCUGCUUUACGUAGACCAAAUGAAGAAAUUACUACUCUGAAGGUGAAGGUGGGGAGCCUUGAUGAGAAAGUCAGAUUGCUUGAGGAUGACAAGCAAUUUUUACAACAUAGAUUAAGUGAUGCAUUGGUAUUUAGGAAAACAGUGACUGAACGAAGCCCUUAGUCAGACACAAGCACCAGUGAUGGCACUGAAGACACGGCAAGCAGCUAUAAGGAAGUGGAUAGCACAGAUGAUUCUGAAUCUUUAUCCUGUAAGCGUAAGAAAAGGAAGACAAGAAAGAAGAAACAACUGUUGAAGAAGCAACUAAGGAAGAUGGCAGUGAUGCAUUGAAGGAAAAGAAAAGAAAAGGCAAGGAAGCGAAAAAUGACCAAGGUUUCUGAUACAAGUUGUGACACUGAAGACAAAGACUAAAAAAAAGGAGCAAGAAAAGAAGGGACAACAGAAGAUGAACAAGGAUACUACAAAGAAAAAAGGUAACAAAAGGUACAUGGGUUCAGUUGUUGUAUUUUAAAGUUAUUUUGCAUAUAAAUAGUUCACAGUAUA